Molecule: ribosomal RNA, 450 nt
Filed under: uncultured bacterium
Lineage: Bacteria
Description: partial 16S ribosomal RNA
Rfam family: Bacterial small subunit ribosomal RNA
Source: RNAcentral
GAUGAAUGCUGGCGGCGUGCCUAACACAUGCAAGUCGAGCGGCAGCGAGGGGUGCUUGCACCCUGUCGGCGAGCGGCGAACGGCUGAGUAACGCGUAGGAAUUUGCCCCAAAGUGAGGAAUAACUGCCCGAAAGGGUAGCUAAUGCCGCAUAUGGUCUUCGGAUUAAAGGAUUUAUCCGCUUUGGGAGAAGCCUGCGUUGGAUUAGGUUGUUGGUAGGGUAAUGGCCUACCAAGCCGACGAUCCAUAGCUGGUCUGAGAGGAUGAUCAGCCAGACUGGAACUGAGACACGGUCCAGACUCCUACGGGAGGCAGCAGUGAGGAAUCUGCCACAAUGGGCGAAAGCCUGAUGGAGCAACGCCGCGUGAAGGAUGAAGGCCUUCGGGUUGUAAACUUCUUUUAUGAGUGAAGAAUAUGACGGUAACUCAUGAAUAAGCACCGGCUAACUACGU